UGCAGUCGAGCGGACAGAUGGGAGCUUGCUCCCUGAUGUUAGCGGCGGACGGGUGAGUAACACGUGGGUAACCUGCCUGUAAGACUGGGAUAACUCCGGGAAACCGGGGCUAAUACCGGAUGGUUGUUUGAACCGCAUGGUUCAGACAUAAAAGGUGGCUUCGGCUACCACUUACAGAUGGACCCGCGGCGCAUUAGCUAGUUGGUGAGGUAACGGCUCACCAAGGCGACGAUGCGUAGCCGACCUGAGAGGGUGAUCGGCCACACUGGGACUGAGACACGGCCCAGACUCCUACGGGAGGCAGCAGUAGGGAAUCUUCCGCAAUGGACGAAAGUCUGACGGAGCAACGCCGCGUGAGUGAUGAAGGUUUUCGGAUCGUAAAGCUCUGUUGUUAGGGAAGAACAAGUGCCGUUCAAAUAGGGCGGCACCUUGACGGUACCUAACCAGAAAGCCACGGCUAACUACGUGCCAGCAGCCGCGGUAAUACGUAGGUGGCAAGCGUUGUCCGGAAUUAUUGGGCGUAAAGGGCUCGCAGGCGGUUUCUUAAGUCUGAUGUGAAAGCCCCCGGCUCAACCGGGGAGGGUCAUUGGAAACUGGGGAACUUGAGUGCAGAAGAGGAGAGUGGAAUUCCACGUGUAGCGGUGAAAUGCGUAGAGAUGUGGAGGAACACCAGUGGCGAAGGCGACUCUCUGGUCUGUAACUGACGCUGAGGAGCGAAAGCGUGGGGAGCGAACAGGAUUAGAUACCCUGGUAGUCCACGCCGUAAACGAUGAGUGCUAAGU
This 782-nucleotide ribosomal RNA is filed under the name Bacillus velezensis. RNAcentral describes it as "bacterial SSU rRNA". It matches the Rfam family "Bacterial small subunit ribosomal RNA", at positions 56 to 821 of the family's 1533-position model. Lineage: Bacteria; Bacillati; Bacillota; Bacilli; Caryophanales; Bacillaceae. The record is from RNAcentral.